Molecule: unclassified non-coding RNA, 391 nt
Filed under: soil metagenome
Description: partial contains 5.8S ribosomal RNA, internal transcribed spacer 2, and large subunit ribosomal RNA
Rfam family: 5.8S ribosomal RNA (bases 1-122)
Source: RNAcentral
GAUGAAGAACGCAGCGAAAUGCGAUACUUGGUGUGAAUUGCAGAAUCCCGUGAACCAUCGAGUCUUUGAACGCAAGUUGCGCCCGAAGCCAUUAGGCCGAGGGCACGCCUGCCUGGGCGUCACACGUCGUUGCCCCCCCAUCUACUCCUUCGGGAUUGCGGGGGGCGGAUGAUGGCCUCCCGUGCGCCUCGUCGCGCGGUUGGCAUAAAUGCCAAGUCCUCGGCGACGCACGCCACGACAAUCGGUGGUUGCGAAACCUCGGUUGCCCGUCGUGUGCGGUCGUCGCGCAUCGAGGGCUCGAAAAAAUUGCCGGGCUCCGGCUCGGCUUUCAACGCGACCCCAGGUCAGGCGGGGUUAUCCGCUGAAUUUAAGCAUAUCAAUAAGCGGAGGA